Molecule: ribosomal RNA, 253 nt
Filed under: uncultured bacterium
Lineage: Bacteria
Description: partial 16S ribosomal RNA
Rfam family: Bacterial small subunit ribosomal RNA
Source: RNAcentral
UACGUAGGGUGCGAGCGUUAAUCGGAAUUACUGGGCGUAAAGCGUGCGCAGGCGGUUUUGUAAGCCAGAUGUGAAAACCCCGGGCUCAACCUGGGAAUGGCAUUUGGGACUGCAAGGCUGGAGUUUGGCAGAGGAGACUGGAAUUCCUGGUGUAGCAGUGAAAUGCGUAGAUAUCAGGAGGAAUACCGAUGGCGAAGGCGGGUCUCUGGGCUAUAACUGACGCUCAUGCACGAAAGCGUGGGGAGCAAACAGG